RNAcentral lists this long non-coding RNA (504 nucleotides) under Equus caballus (horse). RNAcentral describes it as "lncRNA (ENSECAG00000046107.1)". The record is from RNAcentral. Lineage: Eukaryota; Metazoa; Chordata; Mammalia; Perissodactyla; Equidae.
GUAAUCUUCAAACCAUCCUGCAAAGUGGAUGUUAUCACCAUUUUACACAGGAGAAAACAGAGUCUCGGAGAAAACAAGGACCUUGUUCAAGACUACACAGUCAGAAAGCGGUGGAGGCGGGGCUCAAACUCAGUCCUGGAAAUCCCCAGUCAGCCGUCCGCCCUGGGCCGAUGCGUCAGACCGAGAGGAGAACGGAGGUCGGGCCCUGGGGAGCCAGCGCUGGGGAAACAUGAACGCUGUGUUUAAAGGGGAGAAGGCACCCGGGAAGCACAGUGGUCCCCAAUCCGCGGCUUCACUUUCUGCGCUUUCCGGUACCGUGGUCAACGGCAGUCUCAAAAUAUUGAACGGAAAAUUUCAGAAAUAAACAAUUCAUAAGUUUUAAAUUGUGCACCUUUCCAAGUAGCAUGAUGAAACCUCGUGCCGUGCCACUCCGUCUGUCCGGGACGUGGGUUGUCCCUUUAUCCAGUGGAUCCACACUGUACACCUGCCUGCCUGUCAGUCGUU